Molecule: signal recognition particle RNA, 269 nt
Filed under: Nanobdellota archaeon
Lineage: Archaea; Nanobdellati; Nanobdellota
Description: signal recognition particle sRNA
Rfam family: Archaeal signal recognition particle RNA
Source: RNAcentral
UGGCAGGCUAACCGGGAAGUCAGUCCCUUCCUGUGAGCGCAAAUGGACUUUAGGCGCGGUGACUACAUCGGCGAGGGACAAGAUCCUCUAAUAUGAUGGCAAAGCUAUCGAUGAGUGAGGGCCCUACAGGGAUGGAGCCGUUAGAAACCCGGCCAGGUCCGGAAGGAAGCAACCGUAACUGAUGGUUUCAUCGCUUGUAGACACUCCUUCAUGAGAGAAUGUUGCCACCCUCUGUAGGGGUUAUUGCCUCGAACCGAUGGUGCCUGCCU